UACGGGGGGGGCAAGCGUUGUCCGGAUUUACUGGGCGUAAAGAGCGCGCAGGCGGUCGUUCAAGUCGCGUGUGAAAGCCCCCGGCUCAACUGGGGAGGGUCACGCGAUACUGAUCGACUCGAAGGCAGGAGAGGGUAGUGGAAUUCCCGGUGUAGUGGUGAAAUGCGUAGAUAUCGGGAGGAACACCAGUGGCGAAGGCGACUACCUGGCCUGUUCUUGACGCUGAGGCGCGAAAGCUAGGGGAGCAAACGGG
This 253-nucleotide ribosomal RNA is filed under the name uncultured bacterium. Its description in RNAcentral is "partial 16S ribosomal RNA". It matches the Rfam family "Bacterial small subunit ribosomal RNA", at positions 524 to 776 of the family's 1533-position model. The record is from RNAcentral.